CGGUCCGUAAAUCAAUUUACGGCCCGUAAACUGACUUUACGACCAGCAGUGUUCAGGUCGUAAAUUUCACUUUCACAGAACAAUAUAUAUUCGUCCAUAUCAGUUCAACUCAUUAUUUUUCAUUCCUUCAAACCCUAGAACGACCUCCUACUCUCCUCCAACAUCAAGAACACCAAGGGUUUUCAAGAAAACCCAUCUCAAGAUUCAAGAAUCAAGAUUUGGGAAAUCUUCUCCAAAAUUCAAGUCUUUAAUUCAGGUUUUGGAGCAAUUAAGGGUUUGCAACAUAUUUCCUUCCAAAGUGAUUCAAGCUAGGUUUUGGGUGUUCUUCAAUAGAAAAGUGAAUUGUUAAAUCUUGUUUAACAAAUUAAGGUAACGAAGAAGAGCAGGUUCGUGAUACUUUCGACGCUUAAUAGGACUUGCUACUGCUGUGGAUUUGGUGAGCCCACAUCCUUGUUCGUGGGACACUUUCCGUUUCAUUUAUUAUUCUAGAUUUCCGGGCUGCGUCCCGAAGUUUGACGAUUGUUAUGUCUCUUAGAAGCUCCAUAGAUAGUUGUCAGAAUUGUUGGUAGAUUGUCAAAAGUCUCGUACGACUUAAUGGGUGUUUGCCACGUUGAUGGCCAUUGCUUAUAAAGACUUCCGCUGAUUUAAUUCAUGUGUUACAUUUAAUUUAUAAAUUGUUGGAGGCGAAUA
Long non-coding RNA from Lycium barbarum (goji berry), 690 nucleotides. RefSeq lists it as uncharacterized. Lineage: Eukaryota; Viridiplantae; Streptophyta; Magnoliopsida; Solanales; Solanaceae. The record is from RefSeq and is a predicted model, not a curated record. The transcript is spliced from 3 exons.